AGCAUAUGUAUGAAGUACUUGUGUUUAACUUGAAAACAAGCACUUAUAAAUAGUGCAAAAAUAAAUCUCUUGCAAUCCAGAACUCAUUAUUUAAUGAACUGACAUAUACAAGAAGCAGUAUU
Mesocricetus auratus (golden hamster) is the source of this 122-nucleotide non-coding RNA. NCBI's taxonomy places the organism in Eukaryota, Metazoa, Chordata, Mammalia, Rodentia, Cricetidae. The record is from Rfam.